UACGGAGGGUGCAAGCGUUAAUCGGAAUUACUGGGCGUAAAGCGCGCGUAGGCUGCUGCGUAAGCCAGAUGUGAAAUCCCCGGGCUCAACCUGGGAAUUGCAUUUGGAACUGCGUAGCUAGAGUGCAGAAGAGGGGUGUGGAAUUCCAGGUGUAGCGGUGAAAUGCGUAGAGAUCUGGAGGAACAUCAGUGGCGAAGGCGACACCCUGGUCUGACACUGACGCUGAGGUGCGAAAGCGUGGGUAGCAAACAGG
Molecule: ribosomal RNA, 253 nt
Filed under: uncultured bacterium
Lineage: Bacteria
Description: partial 16S ribosomal RNA
Rfam family: Bacterial small subunit ribosomal RNA
Source: RNAcentral